Molecule: long non-coding RNA, 1865 nt
Filed under: Homo sapiens (human)
Lineage: Eukaryota; Metazoa; Chordata; Mammalia; Primates; Hominidae
Description: long independently transcribed non-coding RNA 2756, transcript variant 1 (LINC02756)
Source: RNAcentral
AAAGUUACACAAGAAGAAUUGGCCCUUGACCAGCCUGAUUGGUUGCAGGAGGGGACCAAUCAGAGGUACCUCCCAUUUUUCAUCUGCAGCCCAAUGCAAAGUAAUGACAUGGAUCUGGAGAGAUUCUCUUAGGAGAGAAUCUGGCUAAGUGUCUAGCAGGAUGAUUGAUUAACAAGAUGUUUUGUUUUCAUCAUCUCAGAGAUAACUGUAUUGAGGUAUAAUUGAUAUGCCAAAUAACUGGACACAUUCAACUUGUGCAAUUUGAUGAGUUUGGAGAUACACAUACAUCUGUGAAACCAUCACCAAAAUCAAGGAUCGUUGUCAUUGGAUUUAAGAGGGCCUACCCUGAUAAUACAGGAUAAACUCCUUCUCCCAAAACCUUUUCUUCUCUCAGAAUCUUUUGGCAGCAAACACAUUCAAGCAUCUUCUAUGUGCCAAGAACUUGCUGGAAAACAUCACAAAAGUUAAUAUUUUCUGGAGAUCAAGGAAUGAAACUCAGCCCUCUGCAAAUGGAACACAAACGCCUGGUACAUGGAUGCUACAAUGAAAAGAAUAUGGGUGCUGAAAUCAGAGAGAAUCAUCCAAGGUGGGUCUCCUCUGUCCUUACAAUCUCCAGUCACACCUUAACCACUUUUCCAGAUGAUCCUUAUGCAUGCUGAACUCUGAGAGCCACCAGUGAAGAAGAUAAGUGACCCAUCUACCUGUAGCUGGAAAAUAAAGGCUCUUUGGGAUUCUUUCCCAUGAGUCUUCAUUUCACCAUAUUGGUGAGAGAAGGCAUUCAGGCCCAAUAAUUAACUGAACAUUAGCUGUGUACCAGACACUGUGGUCGACAUUGAGAUAUAACGUUUGAGCUCUGUCAAUGGGACAGUCCUGGGCAGGAGACUGGGGAGAAGAGGCGGCUUGCUGGUUUUCCUGAACCACUUCCACCCUGAAAGACUCCUUGCAUACAAUCAUCAGAGAAGAACCGUGGGAACCAAGAACCAUGAGCAGGAGAACCAUGAGCACACUGUUCGCAAUGGCCAAGAUUUGGAGGCAACCUAAGUGUCCAUCGACAGACAAAUGGUUAAAGAAAAUGAGGAAGGAAUAUCAAGAAAAUAGACUACAAAUAAAUGUCUUUUAUUUCUACUUCUUCAAUAUAUAUUAUAACAUUCUUCUUGCCAACUGAUCUUCUUGCCUCCAAUUUGACCCCUCUGAUCCACCAAGUAUUGCAUACUACCGUGUUUUGAGACAUAGGAGGAGGAAAAAACCAUGGCUGCGGAGGUGAUUUAAUAUCCUGUUGACUCUGAAGAAAAAUACACUUCUUCAUUAUAAGAGUUUUAUUGCCAAUGACUAGAAGGAAAUGUAAAGGGGACAACACAAGAUGACUAACACAGGAAGUUAUAAAACUCACAGCUCUAACUGUCAUGGCCCUGGGCCCAUGGUGCCUGAAUCCCUCUGGGAGUAUUAAAUGGAAGGCCCCCUGGUACCUGAAUUUUGUUUUAGUUUUCUCUCUCCAUCUCUGUGAUUACACAUAAAAUCAGCCAAGCACCUGCUCCCCUCCAGCCUAGAUAACACAUACCUCCAUGCUAUAAAGGGACAAUUUGACCAAGAGACACCCACCUCACCUGACCACAGAGCUGGAAAAUCUACUAUGUCAGACUUCCAUGCAACCGCUGGUGGGAGAAAGUUUUCACGAGUCUCUCUGGGCCCUUAUCCCUCUCCCCUGUAUUCCCAUCCUUAUCCAAAUCCACAUUUCACCAAACUCCCUAACGCUAAGCAGCUGUUGAAGUUCAGAUCACAGUCUCUGAGGAGCUCCUGGUUUCCCAUGGAAUGUGAUUUGCCUCAUCAUCUUACAGCCUGCCUCCACUUUGCUUUCUUAUCAUUUC